CCUACGGGAGGCAGCAGUAGGGAAUAUUGCUCAAUGGGGGAAACCCUGAAGCAGCAACGCCGCGUGGAGGAUGAAGGUUUUCGGAUUGUAAACUCCUUUUGUUAGAGAAGAUAAUGACGGUAUCUAACGAAUAAGCACCGGCUAACUCCGUGCCAGCAGCCGCGGUAAUACGGAGGGUGCAAGCGUUACUCGGAAUCACUGGGCGUAAAGAGAGAGUAGGCGGGAUAGCAAGUCAGAUGUGAAAUCCUAUGGCUUAACCAUAGAACUGCAUUUGAAACUGUUAUUCUAGAGUAUGGGAGAGGUAGGUGGAAUUCUUGGUGUAGGGGUGAAAUCCGUAGAGAUCAAGAGGAAUACUCAUUGCGAAGGCGACCUGCUAGAACAUAACUGACGCUGAUGCGCGAAAGCGUGGGGAGCAAACAGGAUUAGAUAUCCUAGUAGUC
This 440-nucleotide ribosomal RNA is filed under the name uncultured bacterium. RNAcentral describes it as "partial 16S ribosomal RNA". It matches the Rfam family "Bacterial small subunit ribosomal RNA", at positions 338 to 795 of the family's 1533-position model. The record is from RNAcentral.